GCCUGGUUGUGGAGCUCUGGAGACUCCCCAGGCUCUGGCACUCCUGCGGUGCAGCUGGGCAGGCACUGGGUAUCUGCAGGCCCUCACUGCUUUCUUCACACCCGCUGUGCAGGAAGGUGUGACUGGGACAGUUUGCUUCAACAGGUAUUGGAGGUCUUGGGACCCUUUCCCGGGGUGUUGUGUAAACAGAGCCUGAGGCUCUGUAAACAGAGACAGAGUAGUUAUGUUGGACUCCACAGGUCCUUCUGGGAGCUGCUGUGUUCUCAGCAGGACCCCCGGCUUCCUGGGAGAUGUCAAGAGGUACCCAAGAAAUCUGAGGCCCUAUGAAGCCUAUUCUGCUAGGUGGAAAUGACUUUAAGAGCUCAACUUCAGAUGCAUGAGCCAUGGCUUCCCGAGUUGGUGAAGGCCAGGAGCCACAGCAGAGAGAGGAAAAGUCCGAGUUGGGGAAGGCUCACUUCUUUUGGAGGAAGGUGUGCCUAUGGCAGAACCCAGAGUCCACAGGAGUAGCAGGUAGAAAGGGCCACGAAAGGAGGAUCAGAGGAGCAGUUAUGGAGGAGGGAGGAUACAGAAGAUAAUGAAGCUGGCAUGUAGCACAGCAGUGGUGCCAUACAUGCCUGGCAUGUGCAAAGCCUGGGUUUGAUCCUUGGCCUUGGGACUUGUCACCUUGUGCGAAGCAUGGGAAGACAGGUAGGUGGGAAGUAAGACCUCCAGAUAGGACACAUGAACGGUGUGGUGGGCAGGUGCAGACACAGGUGCUGUUGCAGGUCAGAGGAGGGCGCUCUCGGAGACCCUCGAGAUGGCGACAGAGUGACCAUGAGCAUGGCCUUGGCCAACUUGCCUGUUUCCUGAAGAUGGAGAGAACAGUGGUUGAGAUUGUGCAAGUCCUAGAAAAUCAGACUGGGGAAUUGCUGUUCUGUCUGUGUGUCCUGGCAGACAUUAAAAGUUUUAGGUUCAGGGAGGAUAGCAAGGAAGGGGUGUUUGGAAACGAUUUUUAUAGGAGACAGGUCAGCUAGUAAGCUGCUGCACUCUAGGAGUGCCCAGGGUUUGCAUUGGAUUUAACUGGAAAUGAAAAAAGGGUGAGUUUUAGAGACAUUACCAUUGACAUACUCUGUUGACAAGGCCAGGGUGAAGGGAAGAGAUGACUUUGUGGAAAUUGAUUAUAUGCUAGGGUCUUAGAGCCACUGUAGCUGGCAACUCGAGAAAUCGGAAAUGUGUGUUUUGCAGAGAAGUAAUUGACACUCGGGCUGUGUGGAAGUUUCUGUGUUUGCCAGAAUAUCCAAGUGUAAGUGCGUGCCAGCAACUGCUGCACCGGGCUUGUUGGGAACCCCAGGGAUACAGUGUUAGAGAGAGCAGGCAUUCAGUGGUCAGAGAGGUAGCUGAGGAUGUGCAGCCUGGGAGGUCUGUUUGUUGGGGUUGGGAUCCUGCAGUUCAGGCUGGCCUGGAACUCACUGUGUAGCCCAGGCUGGCCUUGAACUCAUGGCAAUCCUCCCGCCUCUGCCUUCCAAGUGCUGGGAUUACAGGCAUGUACCACCUGUCAUUUUUACCUCUUUGUGUUGCUGCCAUUUACAUGACACUGCCUGGUCUUGACCUUGAAGUUGGAGAAACAAGUCUAAAGACUCGGGGCUUUUGGGAAACUGGGCCAUUUAUUCUUCUAGGCAUGAGGGUGCAUGCAGUUGGAGGUUGGAGAGAAGCAGCAUAGGAUUUGCUAAAGGUAUAUAUUGUUGGGCUUUGAAGUGUGUUGAACUUUGGACUCCACCAGGAUCUUCAGCCUAGUCCCAUGUUUCAUUCCUGCAGGAGAGAGGGGGUGCGUGGAGAUUUGUCGCUGGGGGUAUUGACUUCUCUAGGGCUUGGCUCUUCCAAGCCCUGCAGUCGCCCAUUCCCAGGAGUCUGAGGACCUGCACAUGGAAGGGAUGGGGUGCUUUUUUGCUGAGUACUGAAUUCUGCUGUCUUGUUGCAGGGCUGACUUAGGGUGAUUUGCGGAACAAAUUCCCCAAGCCUCGACUUGCAACAUCUGAAUUUGGAGGAUGGUUGCAGAAGGCUGUAGAAUGAGCCGAGAAUGUAACUAGUGACUUAGCCUCCUUGUUUCUCUGAGCUGCAGGAUCAGUGCACUGGUAGGGGAACAGAACUUAGGGGAGGAGACCUGCAGGGGUGUGGAUCAGAAUUUUUUUUUCUGGCAAAUAUUUGACUGCGUGAAAAAUAAUUGCAUGUGAGUGAGCAGUGGUUGAGCUCACUCAUUCUAGAGCAGUGUUUUCUGUACUGUUCUGUACUGUACAUUGUCUAGGCCCGGGGAUAUACCUCAGUGGCACAGUUAUCUAUCUGGGAAGAGCAAGGUUCUGAGUUCAAUUCCCAGUACCAAGAAAGAAAAAAAAAAAAAAAAAAAAAGAGCAUUGCCAUUGUCUAGCUGCUAGCAUACAUAGAGGAUCACAGGCCCUAUACAAACUCUUAGCCCCAAUAGUCACACACCCUUUUCUAAAAGCUAUCAUUCUUAAGAUUACUCACACCUGUGACCUCUGUGCCAGGACCUCUCCUCAAGGACCUAUGGCACCCUCUUCCUUUCCUACCCAUCAGUUUCGAGGACACACCGCUGGUCAGGACUGACAGAUAGGUUUUACACACAUGCCCCGCCACAAGACUCUCAAUUAUCUUCUCACCUUUGUUUGUACCUUUUCAGGAUGGAUAGAAGCCUUUCCCACAACCAGGGAAACUGCUGAUGUAGUUACCAAAGUCAUAUUACAAGAAAUCAUUCCAAGGUUUGGUCUACCUCAGAGUAUUCAGUCAGAUAAUGGUCCCGCCUUUAUUUCUCAGAUCACUCCACAGGUAUCCUCAAGCUUACACAUCACCUGGCACCUACACAUCCCAUACCAUCCACAAUCCUCAGGAAAAGUAGAAAAGGCAAGUGGCCUCAUAAGACACACCUUACAAAACUCACUUUAGAACUACAUCAACCUUGGCCUCAACUUUUGCCCUUAGCCUUAGCCAAGCUCAGGGAACUCCCCCGGGCUCCUACUUUCCUAAGUCCUUUUGAACUUAGGUACGGCAGGCCAUUCUUACUCCACAAUCUUCCUACUCCCCAAAAUCUCCCUCCCCUGGCUGACUAUGUCCCAGUCCUCUCCUUCCUCUGACACCUGUUGUGACAACAUGCUGAUCUCUGCCUUCCACAACCCUCUGGAGAAGCCAAGCCAGAUCCUCCCCUAUCCCCAGGAGAUCUAAUUUAUCUCAAAUGUUCUAAAUCCACAGGACUGCCACCAAGGUGGAGUGGCCCCCAUCUGGUCUACUUGGCUACCCCUACAGUGGUCAAAGUUGCUGGACUCCCAUCCUGGUUUCACAUCACUCAGGCUAAGAGUCUAACAUGCGUGCAUUCACCAGUGAAGUUGUCCUGGCUUAAACACCUGGCACCAGAAUCUACCUGGGCAUCCACCACCACCCCAUGGACUCCCCUAGACUCCAGUACAGUGCCCUCUGCCAGCAGGAAAUAGUUUUUAAAAAAUUUUCCCCCCUUUUCAUAAUAAUAAUCAUAAUACGGUAUAUGAAAGGGUUUCGGCCCAGACAGGACUCUGUAGCUAGAAAAGCCUCAAGGGGAACCAGGAAGCUCCUAUCUCCCCCACCCCUAGGAAUUUACCUGUGAUGUCAUCUUCCCCGCCCCUGGGAACUUACAUGUGGUGCCAAACCUACGACCAAUGGGCUACCCGUGCAUCCCUGAUGCCCCCUUAGGUUCCACCCCAAACCGAGGCUAUUUACAUACCCCCAAUGCCUCGUGUCUGCCAGAGAGAAAGCUGGACUGCAGCGGUCGGGGGUGCUGGUUCUCUCUCUCCGUGUUCUCAGAAUAAAGGCCUCUUUUGUUUUAUAUUUCUCUCAGUGA
Cavia porcellus (domestic guinea pig) is the source of this 3859-nucleotide long non-coding RNA. RefSeq lists it as uncharacterized. The transcript is spliced from 2 exons. The record is from RefSeq and is a predicted model, not a curated record. NCBI's taxonomy places the organism in Eukaryota, Metazoa, Chordata, Mammalia, Rodentia, Caviidae.